GAUGAACGCUGGCGGCGUGCCUAAUACAUGCAAGUCGAGCGAACAGACGAGGAGCUUGCUCCUCUGACGUUAGCGGCGGACGGGUGAGUAAUACCUGGAUAACCUACCUAUAAGACUGGGAUAACUUCGGGAAACCGGAGCUAAUACCGGAUAAUAUAUUGAACCGCAUGGUUCAAUAGUGAAAGACGGUUUUGCUGUCACUUAUAGAUGGAUCCGCGCCGCAUUAGCUAGUUGGUAAGGUAACGGCUUACCAAGGCAACGAUGCGUAGCCGACCUGAGAGGGUGAUCGGCCACACUGGAACUGAGACACGGUCCAGACUCCUACGGGAGGCAGCAGUAGGGAAUCUUCCGCAAUGGGCGAAAGCCUGACGGAGCAACGCCGCGUGAGUGAUGAAGGUCUUCGGAUCGUAAAACUCUGUUAUUAGGGAAGAACAAAUGUGUAAGUAACUAUGCACGUCUUGACGGUACCUAAUCAGAAAGCCACGGCUAACUACGUG
Molecule: ribosomal RNA, 497 nt
Filed under: uncultured bacterium
Lineage: Bacteria
Description: partial 16S ribosomal RNA
Rfam family: Bacterial small subunit ribosomal RNA
Source: RNAcentral